Molecule: ribosomal RNA, 484 nt
Filed under: uncultured bacterium
Lineage: Bacteria
Description: partial 16S ribosomal RNA
Rfam family: Bacterial small subunit ribosomal RNA
Source: RNAcentral
AUUGAACGCUGGCGGCAUGCUUUACACAUGCAAGUCGAACGGCAGCGCGGGCUUCGGCCUGGCGGCGAGUGGCGCACGGGUGAGUAAUGCAUCGGAACGUGCCCAGUAGUGGGGGAUAGCCCGGCGAAAGCCGGAUUAAUACCGCAUACGACCUGAGGGUGAAAGCGGGGGACCGAAAGGCCUCGCGCUAUUGGAGCGGCCGAUGUCGGAGUAGCUAGUUGGUGGGGUAAAGGCUUACCAAGGCGACGAUCCGUAGCUGGUCUGAGAGGACGACCAGCCACACUGGGACUGAGACACGGCCCAGACUCCUACGGGAGGCAGCAGUGGGGAAUUUUGGACAAUGGGGGCAACCCUGAUCCAGCCAUGCCGCGUGCGGGAAGAAGGCCUUCGGGUUGUAAACCGCUUUUGUUCGGGAAGAAAUCCUCUGGGCUAAUACCCCGGGGGGAUGACGGUACCGGAAGAAUAAGCACCGGCUAACUACGUG